CCAAAGUCAAAUACAAGUGCUUUUAUUAUCUUCUAUCUUUUAUAAUUCAUGCCUAUGUUCCCAAGCAUUUUCGUGGAUAACCGAAAAAUGGCAACAUAACAAAUUUCUUCCCUUGAGUCUCCAUUUCUCUCAGGGCAGAUGAGCUACCUGCAGCAGGCUCUCCCGGUAGCAGAGGACAGCUGUGCCUCUCAGGUAAUCCAGCGGUCUUGUCCUGAAGGUUGUGCCCUUUAACUGUCCUUCCCAACCUGGAAUGAACCAAUACACAUCGUCUCCUGGGCACAGAACAGCUCCAAAAGGUCUUUUGUUUCCACGCUCCUAUACUCCAGUCUUCACACUCCUCCGACUUUGCUUUAUUUUCAGCAUGAAAUAUUUGUAUCCCCACGGUAUCUUAUUUUGAUAGCUGAUUUAUUGUUAUCUCUCAUAUUGUGCUUUUUAAGACGUCACUGCUGGUAACCCAUUAAGACUUUGUAUUGGAAGAAAAAAUAUCCAUCCUGUCCUGGAGUAAGAACCAUAGCCCAAAAGACAGACUUUCCCCACAAUGGAAUCCCUGCCAAGAAGACAGCUCCACGGCCAGCACCAGCACCCCAGCACCCCCACCUCUUCAUCCUUGGAGUAAGAAAACCCAGACAUCUAUCUGGACCUGAAACUGCCUUUGCUUGAGAAAGCAUGAACCUCUGAGACAAGAGAGGAAAUGCUGUAGACAAUAGCAGAAGUUGUGCAGUCCACAAAUGCUCAGCUCUUCACCACACCCAUUGGUGGAAUUUGUUACCAGUAAACACUCAUUGCUCUAAGCACCAUUAUUUAUUAGAGAUGAAAGAAAAAAUCGUCUGCUUUUAAAGUCAGCUUAGCUCCAAAUAUAAUACAUAGGAAAAUUGGAUAUUUUUGCUUUUCUGAGCUAGAAACUAGUCAGGGAAACCCUUUGCUACCUAAAGAUUGCUCUUUUCUGUGUACCUUGAGCACAAUUUCUUCCUUGAAGCUCCAAGAUGGGCAUUAUUUCAAAUCGGAUUGUAAAGUAAUCAGGGCAGGGAACACGAUGGAAACUCAUGGAACACUGUUUGGAAAUCUUACCACAAUUCUUUAGGAGUUAUACCUAUAAAUGAAAUCUCAAUGUUUAGUCUUAAACUUACUAAGCAACAAGAAAUGUUUAACAUCUAACCUAGGUAAAAGAAUGAUGAAAAGAAUAAUAAAGAAUAAAGAAAAAGAACAGUGAGAGUACCAGCCACAUUCCACAUCCUGAAGAGGUUCCUUCAGUCUUACCCAGCCUGUCUCCUCAUAAGUGAAGCUGCUAUAAUUCUCAGAACUUCAGAAAUCUCUCAGGCUCUUCUCCUUCCUUUCAGGGUAUCUCUUGACUCAAUUCAGUAGCUGCAUAUCUGCCUCUCUCUGACUCUUGUCUGGUGAUGAGCAGAGUAUUCCGCCUUCUCGGCUAUCAAACAUUACUCACUUCAGGAGGCUGUGGGCUCCCCUGGGUUCAUGUUCUGCAGCCUAGAGGCCAAAUAAUGCCCCUCCCAUCACCCUGGAACCUGGUGCAUUACCUAUGCUUCCACCUAUUUGGAAGAAAAAGUCAGAUCUUGUCCUUACUGCUUACUCCUUACUUAAGCCCUCUGAGUUUCAGUUUUCUCUUCUAUAAAAUGGGCUAGACCUAGCCAUGCCAAAUGGUUGCUAGGUUUAGAAAUACUUCAUGUGGAACCCCCGGAACAAGGUUUAAAAUGUAUUAGGUACUCCAUAAACAGUAAUAAAAAUAACAGAAAGAAUAAUAAUGACAAUAAUAAAUUAGAAGUAAACAAUUCCGCAUUAUGAAACAAGCACUAACUCCAUAAACAAAAAACUGGUCACCUAUUGGAAUAUAUGAGAUGAUAGAAGUCAUAGGAGCCAGAAAAUUUUUAAAUAUUCAACCAAAUCCUUACAAAUAUCCCAUGAGGUAGUAUGAUCAGCAUUUUCCACAUGAGGAAACUGAGGCAUGGAAGGACUAAAUAAUUCACCCAACGCCCUAACCCUUUUUUGACCCCAGUUUGCUCUGACCCUGAAACCCAUGCUUUUAUUUCACCAUUCUAUUCCUUUUAGACUGAGAAAUCUGUCUUCAUCUCAGUACUGGAGAAGUAGACGAAGGGCUUCUGCUAUUGAAAGUCAUCCUGAUUCAGUUUGAAGUGCCCUAGAGAGAGUUUCCAAGGUUCAGCAUCUCAUACAAGGACUCCACAAUCCUUCCCCUCCAGAAUCCACUCGUUAAAAUCAUGAUGGAGUCCACCUUGGUCUUUG
Molecule: long non-coding RNA, 2253 nt
Filed under: Equus asinus (donkey)
Lineage: Eukaryota; Metazoa; Chordata; Mammalia; Perissodactyla; Equidae
Description: lncRNA (ENSEASG00005025086.1)
Source: RNAcentral